UACUAGAGUAGCACUCGCAUAUCAAUAAGCGGAGGAAAAGAAACUAACAAGGAUUCCCCUAGUAACGGCGAGUGAAGCGGGAAGAGCUCAAAUUUGAAAUCUUAAAGGGUUUCCCUUUACGAAUUGUAGUUUAAAGAAGUGUUUUCUGUUGAGGUUUUGGUAAAAGUUCUUUGGAAUAGGACAUCAUAGAGGGUGAGAAUCCCGUAUUUGACCUUUACUUUCAACUUUGUGAUACACUUUCAAAGAGUCGGAUUGUUUGGGAAUGCAGUCCAAAAUGGGUGGUAAGUUUCAUCUAAAGCUAAAUAUUGGCGAGAGACCGAUAGCGAACAAGUACCGUGAGGGAAAGAUGAAAAGGACUUUGAAAAGAGAGUUAAACAGUACGUGAAAUUGUCAAAAGGGAAGCGUUUGACUCCAGUGUUGUUUUUCUGAAAAUCAAUUAAAGAACUGUUUAUGCUAAGUUGUUUAGACUUUAUCAGCUAACUGUUUAGUUUUGAGCUUUUCUUUAAUGCACUUUUCAGUUAACAAGUCAACAUCAAUUUCUUUUGCUGUAAAAAAGCUUGAGGAAGGUGGCUUGAGAUUCGUCUUAAGUGUUUAUAGCCUCUUGCCUAUGCAGUCGGAGAGAUUGAGGUCUGCAGCGUAGAUCCUUCGGGGCUAAAUACAUUUGUGCUAAGUUAUAGCAUUUUAUAGACAACUUGUUGACUAUGAUUUGUCUUGUAGCUUACUCGCUUAUGUUAGUUUUACCUACGCUUAGGAUGUUGAUAUCGCGCUCUCACUG
This 775-nucleotide ribosomal RNA is filed under the name uncultured Neocallimastigales. Its description in RNAcentral is "partial large subunit ribosomal RNA". It matches the Rfam family "Eukaryotic large subunit ribosomal RNA", at positions 20 to 621 of the family's 3401-position model. Lineage: Eukaryota; Fungi; Neocallimastigomycota; Neocallimastigomycetes; Neocallimastigales. The record is from RNAcentral.